Molecule: ribosomal RNA, 459 nt
Filed under: uncultured bacterium
Lineage: Bacteria
Description: SSU rRNA
Rfam family: Bacterial small subunit ribosomal RNA
Source: RNAcentral
AGGAUAAACGCUGGCGGCGUGCCUAACACAUGCAAGUCGCACGAGAAAGGGUAGCAAUACCUGAGUAAAGUGGCGCACGGGUGAGUAACACGUGACUAAUCUACCCUCGAGUGGGGAAUAACUGAGAGAAAUCUUAGCUAAUACCGCAUAACACUUACGAGUCAAAGCAGCAAUGCGCUUGGGGAGGAGGUCGCGGCCGAUUAGCUAGUUGGCGGGGUAAUGGCCCACCAAGGCGAUGAUCGGUAUCCGGCCUGAGAGGGCGCACGGACACACUGGAACUGAAACACGGUCCAGACUCCUACGGGAGGCAGCAGUGGGGAAUUUUGCGCAAUGGGGGAAACCCUGACGCAGCAACGCCGCGUGGAGGAUGAAAUAUCUUGGUAUGUAAACUCCUUUCGAUGGGGAAGAUUAUGACGGUACCCAUAGAAGAAGCCCGGCUAACUUCGCGCCAGCAGCCGC